Molecule: ribosomal RNA, 253 nt
Filed under: uncultured bacterium
Lineage: Bacteria
Description: partial 16S ribosomal RNA
Rfam family: Bacterial small subunit ribosomal RNA
Source: RNAcentral
UACGAAGGGGGCUAGCGUUGGUCGGAAUAACUGGGCGUAAAGCGCAUGUAGGCGGAUCUUUAAGUCAGAGGUGAAAUCCCAGGGCUCAACCCCGGCAUUGCCUUUGAUACUGGAGAUCUGGAGUCUGGGAGAGGUGAGUGGAAUUCCGAGUGUAGAGGUGAAAUUCGUAGAUAUCCGGAGGAACACCAGUGGCGAAGGCGGCUCACUGGCCCGAGACUGACGCUGAGAUGCGAAAGCGUGGGGAGCAAACAGG